UUUGUAUGAUGCUAUAAAUACGACAUAUGGGUUGAUCGGAGAAACACACACGAACUCGAAAAAGAAACAUCUCACCUCUCUGUUUUGCCUUUACAACUAUCCGCACGUUGCCGGAGAUCGGCGAUCAAACCGGAGAGCAUCCACAUCACUCAUACAGCCCCCUCGCUGUUGGAAGGUCGCCGGAACCAUCGCCAGAAACUCUGCCGUAGUUCGGAGCAUUCGCCGGAGAUUCACGACGGGAGUACGUCGACUCGCCUUCGAAACCCACGGCUAAACGUUCGGAUAAUCGCUUGGUUUGAUCUCUUGGAUUGUUUCAAAUCCUUACUCGUACGGCCUUACAAGAAGCGCAACGCAAUCAAUGUUGAAUGAUCAAGAAAACAAGAAUCGAGCGAGGAUGGAAAUUAGAAACCCAUUUAGCAUUUUGAUUAUUGUUGAAUUUCAUGUUUGUUUAUUUGGAACUAUUGUUAUGUUGUUUUGA
RNAcentral lists this long non-coding RNA (478 nucleotides) under Helianthus annuus (common sunflower). RNAcentral's name for it is "sRNA HanXRQr2_Chr11g0507741". The record is from RNAcentral. Lineage: Eukaryota; Viridiplantae; Streptophyta; Magnoliopsida; Asterales; Asteraceae.